UCCCUGGUGGCUCAAAUGGUAAAGAAUUUGCCUGCAAUGCAGGAAACCCAGGUUCGAUCCCUGGGUUGGGAA
RNAcentral lists this transfer RNA (72 nucleotides) under Bos taurus (domestic cattle). It matches the Rfam family "tRNA". From Rfam's summary of the family: Transfer RNA (tRNA) molecules are approximately 80 nucleotides in length. Lineage: Eukaryota; Metazoa; Chordata; Mammalia; Artiodactyla; Bovidae. The record is from Rfam by way of RNAcentral. RNAcentral also lists the same sequence under 5 other names.